AGUGAACGCUGGCGGUAGGCCUAACACAUGCAAGUCGAACGGCAGCACAGUAAGAGCUUGCUCUUACGGGUGGCGAGUGGCGGACGGGUGAGGAAUACAUCGGAAUCUACUUUUUCGUAGGGGAUAACGUAGGGAAACUUACGCUAAUACCGCAUACGACCUACGGGUGAAAGCAGGGGAUCUUCGGACCUUGCGCGAUUGAAUGAGCCGAUGUCGGAUUAGCUAGUUGGCGGGGUAAAGGCCCACCAAGGCGACGAUCCGUAGCUGGUCUGAGAGGAUGAUCAGCCACACUGGAACUGAGACACGGUCCAGACUCCUACGGGAGGCAGCAGUGGGGAAUAUUGGACAAUGGGCGCAAGCCUGAUCCAGCCAUACCGCGUGGGUGAAGAAGGCCUUCGGGUUGUAAAGCCCUUUUGUUGGGAAAGAAAAGCAGCAGGCUAAUACCCCGCUGUUCUGACGGUACCCAAAGAAUAAGCACCGGCUAACUUCGUG
Molecule: ribosomal RNA, 492 nt
Filed under: uncultured bacterium
Lineage: Bacteria
Description: partial 16S ribosomal RNA
Rfam family: Bacterial small subunit ribosomal RNA
Source: RNAcentral